UACCUGUAUUCGUUGGCGGAAUUGUCUCGGUCACUCCUCUUCUGCCGUAGGCCUGGGCUAGACCUCUCUGCCGGUCGCUGUUUUGAUUUUUUUUACGAUCUAAUGAGCCUUCAUUCCCUUCAAACCAGCAUAAUGGUAAGAGGAUGGAGUAUAAUACCCGGAGGACUGAACUGCCAGAUACCCACAGGACUGUAAAUGCAAAGUCGUCAAACAGGUGGAGUAGGAAUUUUGCUUCUCGCGGACUAAUUAGUGAUGAUUAAUCGUGCACGUCGUCUUCCCCAGUCACUAUACUACGGGACUCGGCUGCAGAUACAUCAUUGGUGCUCAAAGAGGCUGUUCCUAACCCUGAUUGUUACACUGGAGACAUGGUAUCCGCCCCUUUAAUAGACUUGCCGAGUACUAAACGGACAUUCAGGUGGUCAGAUGAUUGUCAGCAAGCUUUUGAAAACCUGAAGCACCUCUUGUGUACCGCCCCCGUCUUGCAGGCUCCUGACAUCAAUAAACUGUUUGUAAUACAGGUGGACACUAGUGACAA
Molecule: unclassified non-coding RNA, 535 nt
Filed under: Penaeus monodon (black tiger shrimp)
Lineage: Eukaryota; Metazoa; Arthropoda; Malacostraca; Decapoda; Penaeidae
Description: uncharacterized LOC119577763, transcript variant X1
Source: RNAcentral